AUACGUAGGGGGCGAGCGUUGUCCGGAAUGACUGGGCGUAAAGGGCGUGUAGGCGGCUGUCUAAGUCUGGAGUGAAAGUCCUGCUUUCAAGGUGGGAAUUGCUUUGGAGACUGGAUGGCUUGAGUGCGGAAGAGGUAAGUGGAAUUCCCAGUGUAGCGGUGAAAUGGGUAGAGAUUGGGAGGAACACCAGUGGCGAAGGCGACUUACUGGGCCGUAACUGACGCUGAGGCGCGAAAGCGUGGGGAGCGAACAGGAUUAGAUACCCUGGUAGUCCACGCGGUAAACGAUGAAUGCCAGGUGUUGCGGGUAUCGACCCCUGCAGUGCCGGAGUAAACACAAUAAGCAUUCCGCCUGGGGAGUACGGCCGCAAGGUUGAAACUCAAAGGAAUUGACGGGG
This 397-nucleotide ribosomal RNA is filed under the name uncultured bacterium. RNAcentral describes it as "partial 16S ribosomal RNA". It matches the Rfam family "Bacterial small subunit ribosomal RNA", at positions 523 to 918 of the family's 1533-position model. The record is from RNAcentral.